CGAAGGGUGCAAACGUUGCUCGGAAUCAUUGGGCGUAAAGCGCACGUAGGCGGCUUCGCAAGUCGGAUGUGAAAUCCCACGGCUCAACCAUGGACGUGCAUUCGAAACUGCGGAGCUUGAGUAUGGAAGAGGGUCGCGGAAUUCCCGGUGUAGAGGUGAAAUUCGUAGAUAUCGGGAGGAACACCAGUGGCGAAGGCGGCGACCUGGGCCAAUACUGACGCUGAGGUGCGAAAGCGUGGGGAGGAAACAGGAUUAGAUACCCUGGUAGUCCACGCCGUAAACGAUGAGCGCUAGGUGCUUUGGGUAUUGACCCCUGAGGUGCCGAAGCUAACGCGUUAAGCGCUCCGCCUGGGGAGUACGGCCGCAAGGCUA
Molecule: ribosomal RNA, 372 nt
Filed under: uncultured organism
Description: bacterial SSU rRNA
Rfam family: Bacterial small subunit ribosomal RNA
Source: RNAcentral